Molecule: long non-coding RNA, 113 nt
Organism: Neolamprologus brichardi
Lineage: Eukaryota; Metazoa; Chordata; Actinopteri; Cichliformes; Cichlidae
Source: RefSeq, a predicted model, not a curated record
ACACGUAGCUCUCGGAUUGGACAAGCUGUAGACCCUGUGCUUUGGAGAAGUGGCCUAAAGGGAUCUGGUCCUUAUUUUCUGAAACAGGCAGCAGCGAACAGCAACAUCACGGA